CGAAAUACCGAAAGCGAAAUACCGAAUUAAUUCGGUACGGUUCGAAAUUCAGUUUUUCGAUUUUUAUGCCCACCCCUAAAAAUAAGUGUUCCAAUAAAGAAAAAUCAACAGUCGCUUAUUUUCCCUGCAAAAGAAACGUCGUUUCCGUGCAAAAGAAAUAGUCGCUCUUUUACUGCUCUUAAACUGCUCCUCUCUUCAUCCGUGCAAAAGAAACAUCGUUUGCUCUUCAGAAUUUUAAUUUUUCCCUUCAAUUUCCGUUUCUCUUAUUUCUACUACUGCUAGAGGUAAAUCGCAUCUCUCUGAUUUUGACUUUGUGAUUUGAUUAUCUCUUCCUUAUUUUUGAGAUUUAUUUGGUUUGUAUUCCUUGUAUCACUGUAUCCAAUCUUCUAGGAUUUUGCUUAUGUUCCAUACUGUUUGUUCUUUGUGAUAAACUUUUAUUUCUUAAAUAGUUUUAGUAUGUUUUUCUUUAAACUGUAUAGGGUGAACUAUGACUCUGUUUUUUUUUUUUAAUUUUUUGUAGCUUCUAAGAGUUCUCGACUAUCUAAUCUUCUAAUCCUAAUUAUGGCUAUGGCAUGAUAGGCUUUGGGGAUAAUCUCUGUCCAGAUUUGCGAUUUCAUCUGAGUUCAAUAAAAGAGUGACCUUUGGUUGGUGCAAUUACGGCUUCAUAUCUCUCUGUAUAUGAUUUUUUUACAUUCUUUAAGUAAGGACAAAAUUUCAAAGUAUUAAAUUUGAGUCUCUUAUAAUAGAAAUAAAUAUACUUAUACACGUAUAUUUAAUUCACAAAAGGAAAAAUCAUGUUAUCAAAUCUGUCAAAGAUAUAUCCACAUAAACAAAUUAUUUUUUCUUAAAAUUAUUAUUGAUUCAAGAAUUGAACAAGAGCUCUAGAGAUUUCAGUUUAGCUUUGUAAAAUUUGAUGGAUUACAUGGUUGUAGACAUCUUCGAUGAAAUUAUUGUAGGUAAAAGGUCACAUGUUAAUAUAAAGAAUAAUAUGAAUAUAAAGCUUGAAAUAGCUUCCACUUGCUUUUACUUGAAUUCAAGAAGCAGCUAAGACCUGUCAAAUUGAAGCUUGGAAAUAUAAUGUAUUAGUUCUUUUUCUUAUCAUCAUACAAAGUCAAAAGUUCUUUAUUUGACUCAAAAAAAAUGCUAGAAACCCGUAUAACUUGUCAGAUGAAGCUCCUAUUCAAGGUUUAUUAUCUUUUGUCUAUGUAAUUAAUGAUUCCUUUUGUUGCAAGGGAGAGAUAAUUUGCAGUACAUGAAAAAUAAUUUGACAUAAAGAUUGAUAUAGGGCACCUAUAGAAAAUUCUUUCAGGAUACAUCUUAAUCUUGGUCAUUUAGUUACUAAAAGCCAUGCUAACUUUAGUAUCAAAGAAUGGGCAGAAUUAUAUUGUUAAAUUGAUGAGAAAAUUGCUUUAUGCUGUGUUAAUGGCAUUCGUUCUACACCUACAAAAAAUUUCAAUAAUGCAGGUUAUUUUUUUCCUUGUGAGCAUUUGUUUAAUACUGUUGUGUUUAUAUGAUAACUUCUCUUCGUGCCAUUUGCUAGGAAUUAUAAGAAUCCAAGUAUUAUGAAGAGAAGUGUCAUUGGUAUAGAAGAAGCUAUAUGCCAAGUUUUGAUCAAGCAAUUCCUCAAUUUUCUUUUGCUUCUUUCUCCUUAGUUAAGCAAUUUCAGUUAUAAAUAUUGUUUUUGCUCGUAGCACCAUUCUCACCUUCCUUCUCCUUAUCACUAUGCAUUUCCCGAAUGGCCGAAUUUUAAUGACACUUUCCCUUCUUGUCAUACAUUCCCCAUAGAAGCAAUAAGAAUACUGCUAUAGAUGGUCUUUGUAGUUUUGACGCUGAAGUGAAGCUGCAAAAUAUUACAGAGAAGUUGGGAGUUAUGCUGAGGAGGAAGGGUGUUAUUUUUUACUUCAGUAUUAUACAUAUCUAUUGUAGUUUUUUCUUUUGAGUUUUGUAUAUUUGAAUUGUUGUUGUAUUUUAAUUUAUAUAUGUGUCGUACUUCCCUAAUAGAGAUUUGGUGAUAGGGAGAUAUGCCAGUGUUCCACCACAAUAGUAUAUAUGCGUGUUCUGCUUUUUCCGCAAAA
This 2075-nucleotide long non-coding RNA is filed under the name Nicotiana tabacum (common tobacco). RNAcentral's name for it is "long non-coding RNA (NTAB_LNC003505)". Lineage: Eukaryota; Viridiplantae; Streptophyta; Magnoliopsida; Solanales; Solanaceae. The record is from RNAcentral.